Molecule: ribosomal RNA, 480 nt
Filed under: uncultured bacterium
Lineage: Bacteria
Description: bacterial SSU rRNA
Rfam family: Bacterial small subunit ribosomal RNA
Source: RNAcentral
GUGGUUGAAAUGAUAUGAAGAACUUGUUCAGAUUUGAUUUUCAACAUUGCAAUGAGUGGCGAACGGGUGAGUAACACGUGGGAAACCUACCUCUUAGCAGGGGAUAACAUUUGGAAACAAAUGCUAAUACCGUAUAAUAAUUAAAACCGCAUGGUUUUAGUUUAAAAGAUGGUCUUGCUAUCACUAAGAGAUGGUCCCGCGGUGUAUUAGUUAGUUGGUGAGGUAAUGGCUCACCAAGACAAUGAUACAUAGCCGAGUUGAGAGACUGACCGGCCACAAUGGGACUGAGACACGGCCCAUACUCCUACGGGAGGCAGCAGUAGGGAAUCUUCCACAAUGGACGAAAGUCUGAUGGAGCAACGCCGCGUGUGUGAUGAAGGGUUUCGGCUCGUAAAACACUGUUGUAAGAGAAGAAUGACAUUGAGAGUAACUGUUCAAUGUGUGACGGUAUCUUACCAGAAAGGAACGGCUAAAUACGUG